UCCCAGACUCCUACGGGAGGCAGCAGUAGGGAAUCUUCCACAAUGGGCGCAAGCCUGAUGGAGCAACACCGCGUGAGUGAAGAAGGGUUUCGGCUCGUAAAGCUCUGUUGUUGGAGAAGAACGUGCGUGAGAGUAACUGUUCACGCAGUGACGGGAUCCAACCAGAAAGUCACGGCUAACUACGUGCCAGCAGCCGCGGGAAUACGGAGGAUGCGAGCGUUAUCCGGAUUUAUUGGGUUUAAAGGGGGCGGAGGCGGACUGUUAAGCCAGGGGUAAAAGCCGGGGCCUCACCCCCGGCGAGCCGUUGAAACUGGCUGUCUUGAGAUGUCGAGAGGUAUGCGGAAUGCGCAGUGUAGCGGUGAAAUGCUUAGAUAUUGCGCAGAACUCCGAUUGCGAAGGCAGCAUACCGGCGGCGAUCUGACGCUGAGGCACGAAAGCGUGGGUAUCGAACAGGAUUAGAUACCCUAGUA
This 470-nucleotide ribosomal RNA is filed under the name uncultured bacterium. Its description in RNAcentral is "bacterial SSU rRNA". It matches the Rfam family "Bacterial small subunit ribosomal RNA", at positions 329 to 792 of the family's 1533-position model. The record is from RNAcentral.